Long non-coding RNA from Mesoplodon densirostris (Blainville's beaked whale), 828 nucleotides. RefSeq lists it as uncharacterized. The transcript is spliced from 4 exons. The record is from RefSeq and is a predicted model, not a curated record. NCBI's taxonomy places the organism in Eukaryota, Metazoa, Chordata, Mammalia, Artiodactyla, Ziphiidae.
UAUAGAUGCUACAGCCCUAUGACCUCUUCACCAACAGGCACCAAACUUCCAUCUCUGCUACUAGUCUUUAAAGCCACAUAGACCGUGCCUGAUGCUUUUGUCACCACGAGGGCACUUUUUUUGCUGCUGAUACUACUGCAGCUGCCACCAUUACUCCAAGGAGCCAUUUCUGCCACAAACAGAAAGAUUUUCCUCUAAAGACAGCAGCUCUUUCAGCCCCAACACAAAUGCUUCUUUUAUUCACCUGUGGACUGAGAAAUCACACAAAAACAAGACUUUGAUGUUCUGCUCUGAUGUCUAAGAGUUCCUAUGCUAUAGGCGAUUUGGACUACGGUAGCAAGAAAGGAGCCUUGGGUAAAGAAGUGCAGGUGCUGUUUGGAGGUGGAGCUUGCAGGCUCUGGAGUCGUAAGAAUGUGGAGGAAAGGCAAUGUCGGUGGAGUGACGGGACAGAAACCAGACGAAAAUGGGCUGAAGAGUGAAGCAAAAUGAUGAGAUGGAAUGGUAAUCAUUUCUCCUCUGGCGAGACAAUGCUGGCACCUCCACUAAGGCACCCUGCUGAGCUAAGUUUGAGGAAGCACAGAGCCCCAAGUGCUCACCAUCAUCCCUGCAGAUGGGAUAUGUUUGCAUCAACCUCGGAGUUUUUCCAAGGCUUUGCACUUUCUUCUAUGACUUACAACACAGCAGAUGUACCAUACUUUGUAUGAAAAUUGGAUUAUUUAAAAGAGAUUUUCGGAAAAGAAAACCCAUUUUCAGGAAUUCUAUGUAACCUAGAAGAUUGUUUUUCAAAAAACUCCGUAGUACCUUGCUUAGUAAAUAAAAGCAGUGGUU